AGAUUGAACGCUGGCGGCAUGCCUUACACAUGCAAGUCGAACGGCAGCACGGGAGCAAUCCUGGUGGCGAGUGGCGAACGGGUGAGUAAUAUAUCGGAACGUGCCCAGUCGUGGGGGAUAACGCAGCGAACGCUGUGCUAAUACCGCAUACGAUCUAUGGAUGAAAGCGGGGAUCGCAAGACCUCGCGCGAUUGGAGCGGCCGAUAUCAGAUUAGCUAGUUGGUGGGUAAAGCCUACCAAGGCGACGAUCUGUAGCUGGUCUGAGAGGAUGAUCAGCCACACUGGAACUGAGACGAC
This 297-nucleotide ribosomal RNA is filed under the name uncultured soil bacterium. RNAcentral describes it as "partial 16S ribosomal RNA". It matches the Rfam family "Bacterial small subunit ribosomal RNA", at positions 26 to 328 of the family's 1533-position model. The record is from RNAcentral.